AACGAACGCUCGCGGCAUGCCUAACACAUGCAAGUCGAACGAGACCUUCGGGUCUAGUGGCGCACGGGUGCGUAACGCGUGGGAACCUGCCCUUAGGUUCGGAAUAACUCCCCGAAAGGGGUGCUAAUACCGGUUAAUGUCUUCGGACCAAAGAUUUAUCGCCUUUGGAUGGGCCCGCGUUUGAUUAGCUAGUUGGUAGGGUAAAAGCCUACCAAGGCGACGAUCCAUAGCUGGUCUGAGAGGAUGAUCAGCCACACUGGGACUGAGACACGGCCCAGACUCCUACGGGAGGCAGCAGUGGGGAAUAUUGGACAAUGGGCGAAAGCCUGAUCCAGCAAUGCCGCGUGAGUGAUGAAGGCCUUAGGGUUGUAAAGCUCUUUUACCCGGGAUGAUAAUGACAGUACCGGGAGAAUAAGCUCCGGCUAACUCCGUG
This 433-nucleotide ribosomal RNA is filed under the name uncultured bacterium. RNAcentral's name for it is "partial 16S ribosomal RNA". It matches the Rfam family "Bacterial small subunit ribosomal RNA", at positions 29 to 507 of the family's 1533-position model. The record is from RNAcentral.